UUGAGAGAAGGAUACCGACCA
This 21-nucleotide non-coding RNA is filed under the name Arabidopsis thaliana (thale cress). Lineage: Eukaryota; Viridiplantae; Streptophyta; Magnoliopsida; Brassicales; Brassicaceae. The record is from RNAcentral.